UACGUAGGGUGCGAGCGUUAAUCGGAAUUACUGGGCGUAAAGCGUGCGCAGGCGGUUAUAUAAGACAGUUGUGAAAUCCCCGGGCUCAACCUGGGAAUUGCAUUUGUGACUGUAUAGCUAGAGUACGGUAGAGGGGGAUGGAAUUCCGCGUGUAGCAGUGAAAUGACGUAGAUAUGCGGAGGGAACACCGAUGGCGAAGGCAGCCCCCCUGGGCUAGCACUGACGCUCAGGCACGAAAGCGUGGGGAGCAAACAGG
RNAcentral lists this ribosomal RNA (256 nucleotides) under uncultured bacterium. Its description in RNAcentral is "partial 16S ribosomal RNA". It matches the Rfam family "Bacterial small subunit ribosomal RNA", at positions 524 to 776 of the family's 1533-position model. The record is from RNAcentral.